UGGGGAAUAUUGGACAAUGGGCGAAAGCCUGAUCCAGCCAUGCCGCGUGUGUGAAGAAGGCCUUAUGGUUGUAAAGCACUUUAAGCGAGGAGGAGGGUACUGGUAUUAAUACUACCAGGUACUGGACGUUACUCGCAGAAUAAGCACCGGCUAACUCUGUGCCAGCAGCCGCGGUAAUACAGAGGGUGCAAGCGUUAAUCGGAAUUACUGGGCGUAAAGCGCGCGUAGGUGGUUCGUUAAGUUGAAUGUGAAAGCCCCGGGCUCAACCUGGGAACUGCAUCCAAAACUGGCGAGCUAGAGUAGGGCAGAGGGUGGUGGAAUUUCCUGUGUAGCGGUGAAAUGCGUAGAUAUAGGAAGGAACACCAGUGGCGAAGGCGACCACCUGGGCUCAUACUGACACUGAGGUGCGAAAGCGUGGGGAGCAAACAGG
Molecule: ribosomal RNA, 430 nt
Filed under: Pseudomonadota bacterium
Lineage: Bacteria; Pseudomonadati; Pseudomonadota
Description: Proteobacteria bacterium partial 16S ribosomal RNA
Rfam family: Bacterial small subunit ribosomal RNA
Source: RNAcentral